RNAcentral lists this ribosomal RNA (253 nucleotides) under uncultured bacterium. Its description in RNAcentral is "partial 16S ribosomal RNA". It matches the Rfam family "Bacterial small subunit ribosomal RNA", at positions 524 to 776 of the family's 1533-position model. The record is from RNAcentral.
UACAGAGGGUGCGAGCGUUGUCCGGAAUCACUGGGCGUAAAGGGCGCGUAGGCGGCUUAACAAGUCACUUGUGAAAUCUCCGGGCUUAACUCGGAACGGCCAAGUGAAACUGUCAAGCUAGAGUGCAGAAGGGGCAAUCGGAAUUCUUGGUGUAGCGGUGAAAUGCGUAGAUAUCAAGAGGAACACCUGAGGUGAAGACGGGUUGCUGGGCUGACACUGACGCUGAGGCGCGAAAGCCAGGGGAGCAAACGGG